This 385-nucleotide long non-coding RNA is filed under the name Carica papaya (papaya). RNAcentral describes it as "long non-coding RNA (CPAP_LNC015506)". The record is from RNAcentral. Lineage: Eukaryota; Viridiplantae; Streptophyta; Magnoliopsida; Brassicales; Caricaceae.
AGCUCCACUGGUUGUUUUUAUAAUUUUUACCAACCUUCAAUUCUUGUAUCGGUGAGUAAUGUGAUAUUCUUACUGCACUAGUGUAGCUCACCCUUUCAUUAACUAUUUCAAAUCAAGAUGGUCAAGAUUCAGAUCCCGAUCAACAAGAGGGUUGUAAAUAAUUCACCUCCUGGACUCCCUUCAAAAGCUAGUGAAGGUCGUCCUAAAAUGCUCAGUUGUUUAUUUUUCGCUUAUUUCUUUAAUUUUCGUUUGUUCUUUUUGAAAUGGACAUUCCUAUAGCCCUAUUGGGUAUUCUAAACUAUUAUGUAAAGAAUGUAAACCCUAACUCUAUUAUUUUGAUUUCGCAUUUAAUUAUUACUUUAUUUCAUUUUAAGUUCCAGACCUU